AGGGAAUCUUCCGCAAUGGACGAAAGUCUGACGGAGCAACGCCGCGUGAGUGAUGAAGGUUUUCGGAUCGUAAAGCUCUGUUGCCAGGGAAGAACGUCCGUUAGAGUAACUGCUAACGGAGUGACGGUACCUGAGAAGAAAGCCCCGGCUAACUACGUGCCAGCAGCCGCGGUAAUACGUAGGGGGCGAGCGUUGUCCGGAACUAUUGGGCGUAAAGCGCGCGCAGGCGGCUGUUUAAGUCUGGUGGUUAAUCCUGGGGCUAAACCCUAGGUCGCACUGGAAACUGGGCAGCUUGAGUGCAGAAGAGGAGAGUGGAAUUCCACGUGUAGCGGUGAAAUGCGUAGAGAUGUGGAGGAACACCAGUGGCGAAGGCGACUCUCUGGGCUGUAACUGACGCUGAGGCGCGAAAGCGUGGGGAGCAAAC
RNAcentral lists this ribosomal RNA (424 nucleotides) under uncultured bacterium. RNAcentral describes it as "bacterial SSU rRNA". It matches the Rfam family "Bacterial small subunit ribosomal RNA", at positions 356 to 773 of the family's 1533-position model. The record is from RNAcentral.